GUAAUACCGGAGCCCCCAUCAGUCCACACACGGAGGGGGGAGGUGCAACAGGCCUGAGCUGUGGGAUUUAGUGCUUGCUUGUUCCGGCUCGUUGGCUUUAGCAUGCUUAACGAUGUGUUAGGCAGCAUUCACGAGGUCUAGUGUGCAACUUGGCACUCAGAAGCCAAUAGUGCCAAAGCUCGGUCCCUAGCAGCAUUUCCCCCCACCCCUUUUUUGUUCUUUUUAGUUAUGCAUGACGGUAGAGUGCAUUGUGACAUAAUACACAUACAUGGAGUAUAACUUCCCAUUCUUGUGGAUAUGCAUGAUGUGGACCUACACAUUGCAUAUUGAUAUUUGAACAUAGAAAAGUGAUGUCUGCUUCAUUCUACUGUCUUUCCCAUUCCCAUCCCCCCUCCUUUCCCCCAUUCUCCCCCACCCUGCCUAAUGUGAAUCAGCAUCCACAUAACAAAGAGAACAUUCCGCCUUUGGUUUUCUGGGAUUGGCUUAUUUCACAUAGCAUGAGAGCCUCCAGUUUCAUCCAUUUACAGCAGAUGCCAUAAUUUCAUUCUUCUUUAUGGUGAGUAAUAUUCCAUUGUGUAUAUAUACCACAUUUUCUUUAUUUAUUCAUCUGUUGAUGGACACCUAGGAUGGUUCCAUAAUUUAGCUAUUGUGAACUGAGCUACCUAGCAGCAUUUGGUAAGACUUGGGUAGGGAUGGGCAAGCUGGAGCAUCACCAACAGGUCCCAGGCACAUUUAGAAGAAAGAGUGAAGUAAGUCACUAUUCUAAAAUGCAUUGCAUUGCCGUGGGUUUUUUCACGUAGAGAUUUCAAGGCCCUGGUCUGGGUCCUCCUGCUUAGGCACCCUCCUGGGUGCUCUGUUGCCCCAAGAACAGUCUGAUGAAGAUUACCAGCCCUGAAGAGUGGCAUAAGCCAAGUGUCACAUGAGCACUGCAGGAAUGGAGCAUCCUGGCCUAGCCAUCUGCUUCUCCAGGAGAAUGCUUAUUACUGAUUUGGGCAGACCGUGCAGACAGGACUCCAUGAAGAGUCAAGUCAACCCCAUGUGGCUGCAAGAAGACAUCCUGGUAGCAUGCAGCACCUGGAGGAUACAGAGAGGGUCUCUGGAACUAGCUGGGGCACCUGAACACUUGGAUCUUGUGGUGGGGGUGGGAGUCUAACUUCUCGUUCAUUCCAUAAACCUGUAGGAAAGCAGCAACGCCACUGAGAAUCGCUGACGGUUGGAAAGGGAAAAUGCCUGGUCGCGUGUGUGCGCAUGAAUCUCACCUAUUUAUUAAAUAUGCUCAGUUUUACAGGAUACAGAUACACCUCCAAAUCUGUCCUUUUAUUUUCUUCCAAGUAAUUAUUUAUGAUCCCUAUUGCCACACAGUCACCUUUCCCCCCUCCAUCCUGUGCAUUUAGGGGUCCCAUUGUGCCUUUGUCGUAGAUGCUGUUUCAAUGUGCGUGUUUGUGGGUGAGGCUGUAGAUCUUGUGCAUGUAAUUCCAAAUGGCCAUAUGGCCAUCCCUCACGUCAGUGCUCCGAGGUUUGUUUAUCCAGCGGUAUAAAUCUUAAGGCUAUCACGAAAGACUGAGAGCCCUUUCCAAGUGCAGGGAAUAUCCAUAUUUCCUUCCUCCAUUGUGACUCAGAGUAUCCCAGACAUUUCUAGCAUCUUGCCAAAGAAUAAACAGCACUCACACUUUUCAGGCAUCUUACAGAACUAAAGGUCUCAGAUGUAGCGUUUAGGAUAAUAAAUGGAAUAUGAAAUAAUAAACAUAAAACAAACAUGUGGUUCUUGUUUUAAGUGGGAGGAUUUUAGUUGGCCCAGUUUUAGAGCCAGAAGUCGGGGUGAUUAAGAAGCAAAGAGCUGCCAGCACAGACAUGAAUUAUGGAGGAACAGGGAGCGCUGGUGUGGGAGAGAGCCAAUUUGCUUGCACAAAAAUUUAAAAAUGUAUGUGAGACUCCCUGAAGCCAACUAGCUCAGUAACAGAAGCCCUGCAGCCGCC
This 1976-nucleotide long non-coding RNA is filed under the name Marmota monax (woodchuck). The record is from RNAcentral. Lineage: Eukaryota; Metazoa; Chordata; Mammalia; Rodentia; Sciuridae.